GUCUCCAUAGUUUAGAGGUUAUAACAUCUGACUGUUAAAAUCACCACGCCUUUCGAGGAAUGGUAACAGUCUAACUAUCAGAAGGUCGGCAGUUCGAUCCUGCCUGGGGACG
This 112-nucleotide transfer RNA is filed under the name Talaromyces islandicus. Its description in RNAcentral is "Penicillium islandicum tRNA". It matches the Rfam family "tRNA". From Rfam's summary of the family: Transfer RNA (tRNA) molecules are approximately 80 nucleotides in length. Their secondary structure includes four short double-helical elements and three loops (D, anti-codon, and T loops). Further hydrogen bonds mediate the characteristic L-shaped molecular structure. tRNAs have two regions of fundamental functional importance: the anti-codon, which is responsible for specific mRNA codon recognition, and the 3' end, to which the tRNAs corresponding amino acid is attached (by aminoacyl-tRNA synthetases). tRNAs cope with the degeneracy of the genetic code in two manners: having more than one tRNA (with a specific anti-codon) for a particular amino acid; and 'wobble' base-pairing, i.e. permitting non-standard base-pairing at the 3rd anti-codon position. The record is from Rfam by way of RNAcentral. Lineage: Eukaryota; Fungi; Ascomycota; Eurotiomycetes; Eurotiales; Trichocomaceae.